GACGAACGCUGGCGGCGUGCCUAAUACAUGCAAGUCGAACGAGAGCAACCGGUGCUUGCACUGGUCAAUCUAGUGGCGAACGGGUGAGUAACACGUGGGUAACCUGCCCAUCAGAGGGGGAUAACAUCCGGAAACGGAUGCUAAAACCGCAUAGGUCUUCGAACCGCAUGGUUUGAAGAGGUAUAUAGGCGCUAGCUUCUGCUGAUGGAUGGACCCGCGGUGCAUUUGCUAGUUGGUGAGGUAACGGCUCACCAAGGCAGUGAUGCAUAGCCGACCUGAGAGGGUGAUCGGCAACAUGGGGACUGAGACACGGACCAAACUCCUACGAGAGGGAGCAGUAGGGAAUCUUCCGCAAAGGACGCAAGUCUGACGGAGCAACGCCGCGUGAGUGAAGAAGGUUUUCGGAUCGUAAAACUCUGUUGUUAGGGAAGAACAAGUGCUAGAGUAACUGUUAGCGCCUUGACGGUAUCUAACCAGAAAGCCACGGCUAACUACGUG
RNAcentral lists this ribosomal RNA (498 nucleotides) under uncultured bacterium. RNAcentral describes it as "partial 16S ribosomal RNA". It matches the Rfam family "Bacterial small subunit ribosomal RNA", at positions 28 to 507 of the family's 1533-position model. The record is from RNAcentral.